This 199-nucleotide non-coding RNA is filed under the name Terrisporobacter mayombei. RNAcentral's name for it is "sRNA_2410". The stretch from base 1 to 179 matches the Rfam family "Enterococcus sRNA 2410", at positions 1 to 173 of the family's 196-position model. Rfam says of the family: Produced as 2 transcripts on Northern blot. Expressed in mid, late exponential and early stationary phases of growth. Expression remained uniform under daptomycin exposure. The record is from RNAcentral. Lineage: Bacteria; Bacillati; Bacillota; Clostridia; Peptostreptococcales; Peptostreptococcaceae.
UUAGCUAUUUUAGAUAGAUUUGUAUUUAUGAGAUAUAUAAAAUCAUCAUAGAUACAAAUCUUAAAAAUUUGUAUCUAUGAUGGCUAGAAUUAAUUUGUCAUGUAAAGCCACAUGGAUAAUUACUAUGUGGCUUUUAUUAAUCCUAGGCCUAAAGCCACAUAGUGUAUGCUAUGUGGCUUUUUAUAUAUUAAAAUUUAAA